RNAcentral lists this non-coding RNA (311 nucleotides) under Pelotomaculum thermopropionicum. RNAcentral also lists the same sequence under 1 other name. Lineage: Bacteria; Bacillati; Bacillota; Clostridia; Eubacteriales; Desulfotomaculaceae. The record is from RNAcentral.
AUCAUAAUACGGGGAACAGGUGCCCUUACACGGGUUAAAAGGGAAGUCCGGACCCCCGCCACCCACCCAGCGCCCGUUUUUUUGCCGUGUCCGGCGGUGCAUUUAGGGCUGCGGUGGGGCGGGGGGAAAGGCGCGGUCCCGCCACUGUGAGGGGGAGCCUCUCUGCGUAGAACCACUGCCCUGCGCCUGACGGUGCGGCAGGCGCGCGGCCACCGGCAGUCGCCGGCAGCCCGGAGAUUUUUGCAGGGUGGGAAGGGGUGGAGCAGGCUAUGAACCCGAGCCAGGAAACCUGCCUGUUUCCGCACACCAAA